Molecule: ribosomal RNA, 434 nt
Filed under: uncultured bacterium
Lineage: Bacteria
Description: partial 16S ribosomal RNA
Rfam family: Bacterial small subunit ribosomal RNA
Source: RNAcentral
AGCGAACGCUGGCGGCAGGCCUAACACAUGCAAGUCGAACGAACCUUUCGGGGUUAGUGGCGGACGGGUGAGUAACACGUGGGAACGUGCCUUUAGGUUCGGAAUAACUCAGGGAAACUUGUGCUAAUACCGAAUGUGCCCUUCGGGGGAAAGAUUUAUCGCCUUUAGAGCGGCCCGCGUCUGAUUAGCUAGUUGGUUGAGGUAAUGGCUCACCAAGGCGACGAUCAGUAGCUGGUCUGAGAGGAUGAUCAGCCACAUUGGGACUGAGACACGGCCCAAACUCCUACGGGAAGCAGCAGUGGGGAAUCUUGCGCAAUGGGCGAAAGCCUGACGCAGCCAUGCCGCGUGAAUGAUGAAGGUCUUAGGAUUGUAAAAUUCUUUCAACGGGGACGAUAAUGACGGUACCCGGAGAAGAAGCCCCGGCUAACUUCGUG